UACGUAGGGGGCAAGCGUUGUCCGGAAUUACUGGGCGUAAAGCGUGCGCAGGCGGUGAUGUAAGACAGUUGUGAAAUCCCCGGGCUCAACCUGGGAACUGCAUCUGUGACUGCAUCGCUGGAGUGCGGCAGAGGGGGAUGGAAUUCCGCGUGUAGCAGUGAAAUGCGUAGAUAUGCGGAGGAACACCGAUGGCGAAGGCAAUCCCCUGGGCCUGCACUGACGCUCAUGCACGAAAGCGUGGGGAGCAAACAGG
This 253-nucleotide ribosomal RNA is filed under the name uncultured bacterium. RNAcentral describes it as "partial 16S ribosomal RNA". It matches the Rfam family "Bacterial small subunit ribosomal RNA", at positions 524 to 776 of the family's 1533-position model. The record is from RNAcentral.